UAGUGGGAGGGGAGUACUCGUCGGUGGGGAGGACGAUGAUCAUAGCGGAGGUGAUAAUGGCAAACUCAGCAAAAACACCGAAAACACCGAAACGGGCGCUAGUGUCCUCACAGGUCGCGAGGUCCUCGAAAAGGUCGGCACAGGGUCUUUAGACGUACGACUAAAAAAAUUCGUCGAGCAACGCAAUGAACUUCUAGACGAACUGAACCGCGUCAAACUGGAGUUAGAGGAAGAGCGCACACGUAACCGAGGCGGCGCCGCUAACCGGGUGGUUAGCUAACGGCCCGUUAAGCGUUGACGGCGGCUUGAGCUCGGGUUUGGACGACAUUGAGGAGGUGCAGCGUGAGGCCAACAAGCUGAUCGGCGAUUACAAGUUCCGGUUACAAAAGGCUGACCAGGAUAAACAGCACACUGCAAGCUACGGUUGCCAGAUUGAAAGCCAGGUAGUGCGAUAUAAGACGGCCGCCGAAAUAGCAGAAAAGUGGAAGAUGACCUAAAGCUGAGAAACGGAAACGACAGAGAGAGGUAAGAUAAAUCUAAAAUAUUUCCAGUAAUUUAUCACAUUUUUAUAAGUUU
Long non-coding RNA from Nilaparvata lugens (brown planthopper), 576 nucleotides. RefSeq lists it as uncharacterized. Lineage: Eukaryota; Metazoa; Arthropoda; Insecta; Hemiptera; Delphacidae. The record is from RefSeq and is a predicted model, not a curated record. The transcript has 3 exons.